RNAcentral lists this ribosomal RNA (451 nucleotides) under uncultured bacterium. RNAcentral's name for it is "partial 16S ribosomal RNA". It matches the Rfam family "Bacterial small subunit ribosomal RNA", at positions 329 to 794 of the family's 1533-position model. The record is from RNAcentral.
UGCCAGACUCCUACGGGAGGCAGCAGUGGGGAAUAUUGCACAAUGGGGGAAACCCUGAUGCAGCAACGCCGCGUGAAGGAAGACGGUUUUCGGAUUGUAAACUUCUAUCAAUAGGGAAGAAAGAAAUGACGGUACCUAAAUAAGAAGCCCCGGCUAACUGCGUGCCAGCAGCCGCGGUAAUACGUAGGGGGCAAGCGUUAAUCGGAAUUACUGGGCGUAAAGCGCUCGUAGGCGGUAUGUCAAGUCAAGGGUGAAAUCCCCGCGCUCAACGUGGGAACUGCCUUUGAAACUGGCAAACUGGAGUGUGUGAGAGGAUAGUGGAAUUCCAGGUGUAGGAGUGAAAUCCGUAGAUAUCUGGAGGAACAUCAGUGGCGAAGGCGACUAUCUGGCACAUAACUGACGCUGAGGAGCGAAAGCGUGGGUAGCAAACAGGAUUAGAUACCCUCGUACC